This 291-nucleotide ribosomal RNA is filed under the name uncultured bacterium. RNAcentral's name for it is "partial 16S ribosomal RNA". It matches the Rfam family "Bacterial small subunit ribosomal RNA", at positions 28 to 319 of the family's 1533-position model. The record is from RNAcentral.
GACGAACGCUGGCGGCGUGCUUAACACAUGCAAGUCGAGCGGUAAGGCCCUUUCGGGGGUACACGAGCGGCGAACGGGUGAGUAACACGUGGGUGACCUGCCCUCAGCUCUGGGAUAAGCCUGGGAAACCGGGUCUAAUACCGGAGUAUGACUCCAUGACGCAUGUUGUGGGGUGGAAAGCCUUGUGCGGCUGAGGAUGGGCCCGCGGCCUAUCAGCUUGUUGGUGGGGUGAUGGCCUACCAAGGCGACGACGGGUAGCCGGCCUGAGAGGGCGACCGGCCACACUGGGAC